UGGCGAACGAGUGAGUAACACGUGGGUGAUCUGCCCUGCACUCUGGGAUAAGCCUGGGAAACUGGGUCUAAUACCGGAUAGGACCAUGCUUUAGUGUGUGUGGUGGAAAGUUUUUUCGGUGUAGGAUGAGCCCGCGGCCUAUCAGCUUGUUGGUGGGGUAAUGGCCUACCAAGGCGGCGACGGGUAGCCGGACUGAGAGGUUGGUCGGCCACAUUGGGACUGAGAUACGGCCCAG
RNAcentral lists this ribosomal RNA (235 nucleotides) under uncultured Actinomycetales bacterium. RNAcentral describes it as "partial 16S ribosomal RNA". It matches the Rfam family "Bacterial small subunit ribosomal RNA", at positions 96 to 334 of the family's 1533-position model. Lineage: Bacteria; Bacillati; Actinomycetota; Actinomycetes; Actinomycetales. The record is from RNAcentral.